RNAcentral lists this ribosomal RNA (224 nucleotides) under uncultured bacterium. Its description in RNAcentral is "partial 16S ribosomal RNA". It matches the Rfam family "Bacterial small subunit ribosomal RNA", at positions 328 to 539 of the family's 1533-position model. The record is from RNAcentral.
ACGCUCGACACCUACGGGAGGCAGCAGGUAGGGAAUCUUCCACAAUGGACGCAAGUCUGAUGGAGCAACGCCGCGUGAGUGAAGAAGGUUUUCGGAUCGUAAAGCUCUGUUGUUGGUGAAGAAGGAUAGAGGUAGUAACUGGCCUUUAUUUGACGGUAAUCAACCAGAAAGUCACGGCUAACUACGUGCCAGCAGCCGCGGUAAUCUGAGCGGGCUGGCAAGGC